CAAAGAUGGAAUGAAAGCUAAAGGGCUGUGUGCUUUUCAAGGAGAAAGAGUAAAUUCCACAACGGAACAUUUGUGUGACAUAGAAUCCUCAUUUGAUCAGGCUGUCUGCUUUUAAUCAGAUCUCUGUGAUUUCUGUUCACUCUGGCACAGUGGUAGUAAAGAGGGGAAUGUGAUGAGGAGGACCUGCUAUGGUCCUCAGAGAUCUCUUAACUGGACCAUGAUCAUAAUAAAGCAUACAGCAUUUACAGUUACAUUUUGGUAAGCAACUACAUUAAUUUUUGGAAUAAGUCCAUAUAUCCC
Molecule: long non-coding RNA, 300 nt
Filed under: Fukomys damarensis (Damara mole-rat)
Lineage: Eukaryota; Metazoa; Chordata; Mammalia; Rodentia; Bathyergidae
Description: lncRNA (ENSFDAG00000025897.1)
Source: RNAcentral